CCCCCGAACCCACCCCAAGGCUGCCUCCUGGACUCAGCAGGCGGAGAAGGGACCUCUGCUGCAUGUGUUUCAAUGAUCACAGGAUCUUCUCCUUCCCAGAGGCUAGUGAAGCUUAGAAAGAAAAAAAAAACGCACUCGCGAUGAAAUGUUCUCCGAGCUCAUGCUGUCCUCCCACACUGACAGAGCACAGACGAAUGCGUGGAGGCAAAUAAUGUCAGAGUGCAGGAAAGCACAAAAUGACCGGGAGGAGAGGUGGAGGGCUGAAGAGAGUAAGUGGCGGGCUGAAGAGAGUAAGUGGCGGGCUGAAGACAGGGCUGAAGCUCAAAGGUGGCGGCAGCGUGAUGAGAGGAGGCAGGAUUCAAUGCUGAGGCUGCUGCAGGACCAAACCAGUAUGCUCCAGUGUAUGGUUGAGCUGCAGCAAAGGCAGCUGGAGCACAGACUGCCACUGCAGCCCCUCUGUAACCAACCGCCCUCCUCCCCAAGUUCCAUAGCCUCCACACCCAGACGCCCAAGAACGCGGUGGGGGGGCCUCCGGCCAACCAGCCACUCCACCACAGAGGAUUGCCCAAAAAAAAGAAGGCUGUCAUUCAAUAAAUUUUAAAGUUGUAAACUUUUAAA
This is a non-coding RNA of Caretta caretta (loggerhead turtle), 618 nucleotides long. NCBI's taxonomy places the organism in Eukaryota, Metazoa, Chordata, Testudines, Cheloniidae. The record is from RefSeq and is a predicted model, not a curated record.